Molecule: unclassified non-coding RNA, 240 nt
Filed under: soil metagenome
Description: partial contains 5.8S ribosomal RNA, internal transcribed spacer 2, and large subunit ribosomal RNA
Source: RNAcentral
AACGCACGAGACCUGCGGACCUGCGGAGGGAUCAUUACAAAAGUUAUACACUUGGGGAACGGACUCGUCUUUCGGGACUUGAGGCCUGACUCCAUUUGUAACACAACUUCAACCACUUGUGAACAUGUAAUAAUAUCUCACCAAUUGACUGUUAACGAAGUCUGAUUCAAAUUGUAUUGGUGUUAAUAGACACUAGUAAAAUAUGAAACAACUUUUAACAAUGGAUCUCUAGAUCGGAAG